ACCGCCCGUCACACCAUGGGAGUCGGGAAUGCCCGAAGUCGGUGGCCCAACCGGAAGGGGGAGCUGCCGAAGGCAGGCCCGGUGACUGGGGUGAAGUCGUAACAAGGUAGC
Molecule: ribosomal RNA, 111 nt
Filed under: uncultured bacterium
Lineage: Bacteria
Description: partial 16S ribosomal RNA
Rfam family: Bacterial small subunit ribosomal RNA
Source: RNAcentral